GGCGAGAUGGCCGAGUGGUCUAAGGCGCUGUGUUUAGGCAUAUAUCUCUCUCCGCGGGGAUAAAGCCAAAUCCGCAGUCUUCAGGGGCGUGGGUUCGAAUCCCACUCUCGUCA
This is a non-coding RNA of Westerdykella ornata, 113 nucleotides long. The record is from the annotation of a RefSeq genome assembly. Lineage: Eukaryota; Fungi; Ascomycota; Dothideomycetes; Pleosporales; Sporormiaceae.